Molecule: ribosomal RNA, 942 nt
Filed under: Gilliamella sp.
Lineage: Bacteria; Pseudomonadati; Pseudomonadota; Gammaproteobacteria; Orbales; Orbaceae
Description: bacterial SSU rRNA
Rfam family: Bacterial small subunit ribosomal RNA
Source: RNAcentral
GUCGAACGGUAACAUGAGUGCUUGCACUUGAUGACGAGUGGCGGACGGGUGAGUAAAGUAUGGGGAUCUGCCGAAUGGAAGGGGACAACAGUUGGAAACGACUGCUAAUACCGUAUAAAGUCGUAAGACCAAAGCAUGGGACUUUCGGGCCAUGCGCCAUUUGAUGAACCCAUAUGGGAUUAGCUAGUAGGUGGGGUAAAGGCUCACCUAGGCGACGAUCUCUAGCUGGUCUGAGAGGAUGACCAGCCACACUGGAACUGAGACACGGUCCAGACUCCUACGGGAGGCAGCAGUGGGGAAUAUUGCACAAUGGGGGGAACCCUGAUGCAGCCAUGCCGCGUGUAUGAAGAAGGCCUUCGGGUUGUAAAGUACUUUCGGUGAUGAGGAAGGUGAUGUAUCUAAUAGGUGCAUUAAUUGACGUUAAUCACAGAAGAAGCACCGGCUAACUCCGUGCCAGCAGCCGCGGUAAUACGGAGGGUGCGAGCGUUAAUCGGAAUGACUGGGCGUAAAGGGCAUGUAGGCGGAUAAUUAAGUUAGGUGUGAAAGCCCUGGGCUCAACCUAGGAAUUGCACUUAAAACUGGUUAACUAGAGUAUUGUAGAGGAAGGUAGAAUUCCACGUGUAGCGGUGAAAUGCGUAGAGAUGUGGAGGAAUACCGGUGGCGAAGGCGGCCUUCUGGACAGAUACUGACGCUGAGAUGCGAAAGCGUGGGGAGCAAACAGGAUUAGAUACCCUGGUAGUCCACGCUGUAAACGAUGUCGAUUUGGAGUUUGUUGCCUAGAGUGAUGGGCUCCGAAGCUAACGCGAUAAAUCGACCGCCUGGGGAGUACGGCCGCAAGGUUAAAACUCAAAUGAAUUGACGGGGGCCCGCACAAGCGGUGGAGCAUGUGGUUUAAUUCGAUGCAACGCGAAGAACCUUACCUGGUCUUGACAUCCACAGAAU